AGAGCGGACGGAACGCCGUGGCCGAAAGGAGCCUGCGCAGGUUGGUGCAUGGCUGUCGUCAGCUCGUGUCGUGAGAUUGUUUGGGUUAAGUCCCGCAACGAGCGCAACCCUGUCGUAUGUUGCCAGCAUUAAGUUGGGACUCAUACGAGACUGCCGGCGUCAAGCCGGAGGAAGUGGGGAUGACGUCAAGUCAUCAUGCCCCUUAUGUCUUGGGCUGCACACGUGCUACAAUGGCCGAUACAACGGGUUGCGAUACCGCGAGGUGGAGCGAAUCCCUUAAAGUCGGCCCCAGUUCGGAUCGGAGGCUGCAACUCGCCCACAUGAAGCUGGAAUCCGUAGUAAUCGCGUUUCAAAAUAGCACGGUGAAUAUGUCCCUGCUCCUU
This 383-nucleotide ribosomal RNA is filed under the name uncultured Coriobacteriaceae bacterium. RNAcentral's name for it is "bacterial SSU rRNA". It matches the Rfam family "Bacterial small subunit ribosomal RNA", at positions 994 to 1382 of the family's 1533-position model. Lineage: Bacteria; Bacillati; Actinomycetota; Coriobacteriia; Coriobacteriales; Coriobacteriaceae. The record is from RNAcentral.